This 400-nucleotide transfer-messenger RNA is filed under the name Paenimyroides marinum. RNAcentral describes it as "Flavobacterium marinum Standard tmRNA". It matches the Rfam family "transfer-messenger RNA". Rfam says of the family: Bacterial tmRNA, also known as 10Sa RNA or SsrA, is named for its dual tRNA and mRNA-like properties. The record is from Rfam by way of RNAcentral. Lineage: Bacteria; Pseudomonadati; Bacteroidota; Flavobacteriia; Flavobacteriales; Flavobacteriaceae.
GGGGCCGAUCGGUUUUGACAGCAGGUGGAAUUAAAAAGUAAGCACGUCGAGCGCUCAUUUACAGCUCGUAAAUCUCAUAAAUGAACUUUUUUUACACGGCGAAGAAAACUACGCUUUAGCUGCUUAAUUCUGAAUUAUAGUAAGAUCAAGCCUUUGUCCUGUUAGACAGGAAAGCUGAAUUCCUUAAAAAAGCCUUGAUUUAUGGCGUUUUGUAAUAAGGAACCGUAAAAUAAAUCUAGGCAGGUUAGCGUUUCGAACAUCUGUCGAAAUUUUAGAAACUAAGCAAAAAGCGGUUGUUUUUGACCAAACUUUUUGACGAAAAUGUAAUCAAAAACUAAACGUGUAGAAAGCUCUUUGAUUGCCUGUUUGGACCAGGGUUCGAUUCCCUGCGGCUCCACUG